CCCCCACCCCUGAGCGCCUGCUGCGCACGCCCCGCCGCCGCCCGCGGUCACAGGCGCCUCCUAGCAACGGGACCCUAGCCUGGGCCGGGCGAGCGGCGCCAUGGAUCAGCAGGGCGUCACCAUCACCUCCGCCGCCGGAGGACGGGAGGAUCUGGAGCGGGAAUUGCUCGCCGCGGCCUCGAAACCAACACGGAAGACUUCAUCUUUUGAAAGAGAAGGAUGGUGGAGAGUAGCAUUAACAAAUACUCCUAUACCUGGCACAUACCACCUGAAAACUUUCAUUGAAGAAUCUUCGUUAAAUCCAGUGAUAGCAACGUACAAUUUCAAAAAUGAAGGAAGGAAAAAACCACCUCUCGUGCAAAGAAACAAUCCAGUCCUGAAUGAUCUUCCACAGUACAUGCCUCCUGACUUCCUGCACCUGCUAAACAAGCAAGCAGCCACUUACUCAUUCAAAGACAGGCCUCGGCCCAGCCCCAGCACGCUGGUGUACAAGGAUAAGUCUCUUCGGCUUUGCCCGGGGCAGUACGAGGUGCUUCCCGCCCCAGUUCCCAAGUUCCCUUCCAGGAGCUUCGUGUUUCGUUCUGCAGUUCAAAGAUUCCCAACUGGCUGCUUCAUACCUGAUCCACUGAAAGCUGUUUGUGCCUGGGAUGCAAGGGGACAGACCCAGUGCUCUGUCUAGGUUGCCUUCAGCUUGUGGUUUUAAAGAAAAGAGCGAGAGCUAGGUAUUGCAUCUUUCCAGCACCGGGAAGCGAGGUCGGUGCCCGGCCCUGGCUCCCACGUGAGGCGCCCACUCGCUGGCUUCUCGCCCCGUUGAGCCUCACUCUCUCAUCUGCUGAAUGGAGGCGACAGUGUGAGUUUCAAGUGACCAUGCACGGGAGCCAGUGGUGGCUGCGGGGCUGGGGCAGUGCUCUGGGCAGCUCCGUGGGGAGCUGCUGGUGGGCGGCCCUGCAGCCUGCGUGCUGAGCCCGUUUCAGGUCAGGCUGGAUCAACCUGUUUCGGACCAACCUUUCAAGCCCAGCACCUGCGGGCGGGGGUUUCCACCUGCUCCCGCCUCGGACAGGAAGGCUUCAAACCCGUGAGGUGUGCAGAGACUGGAAGCACUUGGCGACACGUAAUCGUUUACAUCUGCAACCAAACUGGAAAAGAUGCUCUGAGGGUUACUUACUAAUACACCUGAGAAAAGCAACACACUGUGACCGACAAGAGGCCAGCUCCCUCACUACAGGCCUAGGAAAGCGUCCUUUCACAGUCACUCCGCGUGUCUUUGGUGCCUGGAGUCUUCACCUGAGAAGUGGAGUGUGUGCACUUUCCGGAGAGAUGAUUUUAUAAAACACGAAGGCCCGGGACCAGGUCAUUAUAACUUGAAAAUACCACCACCAAGUUGUAUUACUUCUUGUUUCCAAUCCAGAGUCCCUCGGUUCCUGCCCAGCGGCUCA
Molecule: non-coding RNA, 1436 nt
Organism: Oryctolagus cuniculus (rabbit)
Lineage: Eukaryota; Metazoa; Chordata; Mammalia; Lagomorpha; Leporidae
Source: RefSeq, a predicted model, not a curated record